CCUACGGGAGGCAGCAGUGGGGAAUAUUGCACAAUGGGGGAAACCCUGAUGCAGCGACGCCGCGUGAGUGAAGAAGUAAUUCGUUAUGUAAAGCUCUAUCAGCAGGGAAGAAAAUGACCGUACCUGAGUAAGAAGCCCCGGCUAACUACGUGCCAGCAGCCGCGGUAAUACGUAGGGGGCAAGCGUUCGCCGGAUUUACUGGGUGUAAAGGGAGCGGAGACGGGAGUGCAAGUCCCGAGGGAAAGGCGGGGGCUCAAACCCCGGACUGCUCUGGAUACUGUACGGCUGGAGUGAAAGAGAGGUAAGUGGAAUUCCUAGUGAAGCGGUGAAAUGCGUAGAUAUAAGGAGGAACACCAGUGGCGAAGGCGGCUUACUGGACUGUAACUGACGUUGAGGCUCGAAAGCGUGGGGAGCAAACAGGAUUAGAUACCCCAGUAGUC
Molecule: ribosomal RNA, 440 nt
Filed under: uncultured bacterium
Lineage: Bacteria
Description: partial 16S ribosomal RNA
Rfam family: Bacterial small subunit ribosomal RNA
Source: RNAcentral